GACGAACGCUGGCGGCGUGCCUAACACAUGCAAGUCGAACGGAAAGGCCCUGCUCUUGUGGGGUGCUCGUGUGGCGCACGGGUGAGUAACACGUGAGUAAACCCUCCUUGUCUUUGGGAUAUCUUCUGGAAAAUGGGGCUAAUAUCGGAUAGGAGCUUCUGCUGCACGGUGGGGGUUGGAAAGAUUCGGCGGUUGGGGAUGGAUUCGCGGCUUAUCAGCUUGUUUGUGGGGUAGUGGCUUACCAAGCCUUCGACGGGUAGCCGGCCUGAGAGGGUGACCAGCCACAUUAGGACUGAGGUAGGGCCCAGACGGCUACGGGAGGCAGCAGUGGGAAAUAUUGCACAGUGGGCGGAAGCCUGAUGCGGCAGCGCCGCGUGCGGGAUGACGGCCUUCGGGUGAUAAACCGCUUUCGCCUGUGACGAAGCGUGAGUGACGGUAAUGAGUAAAGAAGCACCGGCUAACUACGUG
Molecule: ribosomal RNA, 468 nt
Filed under: uncultured bacterium
Lineage: Bacteria
Description: partial 16S ribosomal RNA
Rfam family: Bacterial small subunit ribosomal RNA
Source: RNAcentral